This is a long non-coding RNA of Hirundo rustica (Barn swallow), 428 nucleotides long. RefSeq lists it as uncharacterized. The transcript is spliced from 3 exons. The record is from RefSeq and is a predicted model, not a curated record. NCBI's taxonomy places the organism in Eukaryota, Metazoa, Chordata, Aves, Passeriformes, Hirundinidae.
CUGGAUUCCCAGAGGACAAGAGCUACCAGACCUUUCUAUGGGAUCACUGCUUCAAUAACACAACUUCAUCUGGACUGCUACCACCACCACAGGGUAUCAGAUAGCCUCUUCAGACAUCAGUUCUGGCACUCCAGAUGGGACAGAAGGCAUCUGGAAAACCCCUUGGAUGAGAGGAACACCCAGCUGCCCCUCACCAACUCCUGCUGGCACUCCCAGGAGGCCCCAGAUGCAAUCCCAAAGGUAUAUGCACAGGGGGAGCUCGUGUCUGCGUUUAGACAAACCGUCUGACUGCUGUCACAGCUCUUGCACAGUGACCACGCUCCCGGCUCCAAAGCUGGACUACACGUGGGGAUAGCUACAUUUCCCCCAGGACAACAACUGAUUUUGACACAGCUGGCAGAGCUUGUGGUAUCACACUCACCCUGGGC